Hydra vulgaris (swiftwater hydra) is the source of this 2878-nucleotide non-coding RNA. The record is from RefSeq and is a predicted model, not a curated record. Lineage: Eukaryota; Metazoa; Cnidaria; Hydrozoa; Anthoathecata; Hydridae.
AUAAUUAAAAAACAAUAAUCCGAAACCAAAUAAUUAAGUUUAUCUUUUUAAUUGACCAUCGGCUACUUGGCAUGUUACGUUUUUAGUAUUGUUCAACCUUACUCUAAAUAUGCAUGUUUUUGAGCACAAUUCCAUUAGUACAUGUACUAAUUGAAUUGUGCUCAAAAAAAUUAAAAAGAUAAAUUUAAUUAUUCGGUUUUGGUUACAUGUUUUUUAUAUUUUUAAGGUGAUUAAAUUUACUCAUGUAUGUUAUUUAAUUUAAGAUAUCAUAGUAUUUUAUAAUAUAAGCCGUUCUCGCACAAAAUAUACAAAUAAAGGAGAAAAGAGAAAGAUAUAGAUCAAUCCUAGAAGGCUAUUGUUUCUUCUCAAGUAUCCUAUCAACCAGUUACCUAUAAACCAGCUUCUCAGUAUUGGAAAUGUUCUUACCCAGUGGGCACCGGACCAAAAAGAGAUGUCUUUUGAACGUUCAAAAGACGUCCAAAACGUUCAAAAGACGUCUAAAACGUAAAUAAGACGUUUAAAAGACGUCUUUUUUUUGUCCGUGCCCACUGGGUAGAUACAUGCAGUUUAUCAAAUCUCUAAGGUCUUUGAAAUUUAAAUCUAAUAAGCCAAUUGAAGCUUGCUUUCAAACGUAUCCAGGCAAAGAUCUUAUCUGCAAGGGUGGAUUAUGUAGAAAUCCCAACCACAGAUGUGUUACUUCUCUUGUAAUGGAUGUGUGGAACAAAGCUGGUUUCGGAGAGUUUAUUCUUUCUGGAGCUGCUGUCAGGGAUAAGAUUUUGAAACUCCAUACUAAGUAUUGCAAGCUGAUCCAUUUGAGAGAACUAUACUGGGAUUCCAGAACUGAUAGAUUUACUUUGAUCCAGAGAGAGUUCAUUCAGAGAGCACCAAACUCUAUUUGUAGCGAGUUUUGAGGAAAAAACCCAGUCAGUCGCCUUCGUAUCCAGGAUGCCAAGGUGGAAGACAUUCAGUUUUUUUUAGACCAGAAAGAGGAUUGAAAAAUUUAUAUAGCUACAGAAAUAGACAAAGAGUUUGAAGCAUAUAUUAAAAAUAGAUAGGAUUGCUGGCAAAGCAUGAAGAAUAUGAAGAUUACAACAUCGGAAAAAGAUAAAAAGAAAAUGGUUUUUAAUGAGGUUUCAUAUGAUUCUGAUAUCAACUCAUCUGCAUCCAAGCCAGAUGCUGCAGUUUUCGCAGAUGAACAUAACGCCGAUGAAUUAUUUCAAAACUUUGGUUCUACAAUAAAAGUCAAGACAUGAGGAUCUAGAGGAUUGUACUUCUGUGGUAUCUGCUCGGUAUAGGAUUGGAAUCCGACCUUAAACCGCGAUCAUUGCAGCAAUCUCCAAUCAGGUAAAAAUAACUAAUUGAAUUAAAUAAUAGGAUAAAUAAAAACUUAAUUAAAUUGGUAAUAAAGCUUGAAUAUUAGGAGAUCAGAUAUCGCAGAUAUAAUAAAAACAUUGAAGGGGAAAAGACUUGUCCUGCACUUCGACAGCAAAAAAAUUAAAGAGAUGUAGGAUAAUCUAAAUAUUAAUGUUAGUGUUGAAAAGAUUUCUGUUAGUGUUACAUCACCAGAUAUUGACGACACAAAUAAUAUUAUCCUUGGAGUAGUUCAAACUCAAAGUUCCUAGGGAGUUAAUCAGGCAGAUUUAAUCUUAAAUCUACUAGAGUAUUACAACAUUGUUGAUCAGAUCUUUGCCAUAUGCUGUGACAGCUUUAAACACUGAAGUAUUUGCUGGAGCCAUUACCAUCCUUACAAAUAUCCUCAACAUUCCGUUUCUCUGGUUUCUCUGCAGACGACAGAUGUUUGUGAUAAAUAUUUCACAUUUCAUGGAGGCUCUUACUGGUGAAAAAACAAAGGGGCCCAGGAGAGCAAUAUUUAAGACUUCAGAAAGCCUGGCCAAGCAUCAAUGAGGAGGUAGAUAAGAUGGAGGAGGUAAUUAGGUUUGAUUGGAAUGAAUUGGAAUUGGAUCAACAAACAAGGGAUGCCUUAGAGUUUUGCAAAAAGGCACUGACCACAAAGAUAUUUAAAAGAGGCGAAUACAAGAAGCUCUGCAAACUUGUUGUAUUCUAUUUCGAAGGAAAUGUACCGGGGUUUCGUUUUCAUCACCCUGGAGCCUGCCACAAAGCCAAGUAUGAUUAAAGUUUAUGUUUAAAGGUAUGAUUAUAAAUAAUUUGUAUUAUUAGAAGAGAGUACAUUUUCAAAAAUUUUCCAUAAAACUAAUAAUAAUAAUAAUUUAUUCUAAAGGCUCAUGGCAGAUGCUAUGUGCUAUAGAUAUUAAUGUGCUAUAGACCCUGUUCUUAAAACCAUAUAUGUUUGACAUGUCACCUUCAAAUGACCUAGCUGCCUUCAAUUCAUCGUUUGAAAUAAGGCAGGCUCUUCUUGUCAGCAUGCUUCGGUACGCUUGGUACUUAAUAGAACAGUUAGUUAUACUGGUCCUAGCUGACGAUGAUGUUGACGAGAAGAUAAAAAAAAAGAUGUUGAAAAAGUUGGUCAAGUAUGAUAUACCCAAGCAGUUUCUAUGGGAAACCAAAGCUACCAGUUAUCAAAAGGUCAACUGAGCUAUUUGAGCUGGUAGGUUCCCAGAGUUGGAUCUUGUUUAUAGUAGCAAGUAUUCCAUUUGGAGAGGCGGAGAAGUGGCUCAAGGAAGAUGCCAGUGAAACUUUUGAUCUAUCUAAAAGGUUUUUGAAAUCGAUUGAAUUUGUUAAUGACAGCGCUAAAAGAAAUAUCCGACUAAUGCAGGAUUUUGUUAGAGGCUACAGUUCGGAUGACAUAAAACAAAACCUCAUGCUCGUUGCCAGAGACAACAGAAAAAAACUAAAUAAAGAACUAACAAAGAAACAACUCAUAAACGUUUAAUUUUUAAAGUUAAAAUAUAUAUUUUUA